AGCUCGGACAGGUGAGAAGCAAAGGCCUUCUCUUACGGGAGCUAAGGCCCAGAGGUGGGAUCCCAGAGGGACAGGACUGAAAGGAGAGGGGAGGGCAGGCCCAGGAGACCCAGAUUCUACUGGGGACUCGAGCACAGAGGGAUCCACUGGAUGAACACCAGGUCAGUGUGCACUUACUGUCCAGUAUUCAAGGCCUAUACAUAGCGAAUUUUAGAAAUGUUAGUAGUUGGGGCUGGGCAUGGUGGUUUACGCCUGUAAUCCCAGCACUUUGGCAGGCCGAUCACCUGAGGUCAGGAGUUCAAGACCAGCUUGGCCAACAUGGCGAAAACCCCACUCUACUAAAAAUACAAAAAUUAGCUGGGUGUGGUGGCAGGUGCCUGUAGUCCCAGCUACUCGGGAGGCUGAGGCAGGAGAAUCACUUGAACCUGGGAGGCAGUGGUUGCAGUGAGCCGAGAUCAUAUCACUGCACUCCAGCCUGGGUGACAGAGUGAGAUUCUGUCUCAGAAAAAAAAAAAAAAAAGGAAAUGUAGGCUGGGCGUGGUGGCUCACGCCUGUAAUCCCAGCAUUUUGAGAGGCUGAGAUGGGAGGAUCACCUGAGGUCAGGGGUUCGAGACCAGCCUGAGCAACAUGGUGAAACCACUUCUCUGGUAAAAAUAUAAAAAUUAGCCGGAUGUAGUGGCACCCCACCCCGUAAUCCCAGCUACUGCAGAGGCUGAGGCAUGAGAAUCACUUGAACCCAGGAGGCAGAGGCUGCAGUGAGCCAAGACUGCAUCACUGCACUCCAGCCUGGGCAACAGAGUGAGACUCUGUCUCAGAACAAAACAAGUAGAUGUUAGUACUUGGUUCAUUUAAGAAACAAUGGAGGAAAAAAAAAAAAGAGAGACAGACUCUCACGUUUAAAGAGAAAAAAACCAAAAGCCAAACCCUAAGCAAAAAGACCCAGGGAGAGUUAAACCACAGAAAGUGUAGAAAGAAGCUGUGCUGAGGGAUUUAAUAAAAUUUCCGAAUCAUAAAAGUACACUGGGUGGGGUCUGGGAAGUGAAAGAUACAGUCAUCAGUAUCAUCCUUUUCUCCCCCGAAGAAGCCAACAAAGAGCCACUCAGAACUGAGGAACGCUGGCUGAUGGGGGAAAAGGUAGCGGAGCAGCCCCGGCGCCUGUGCUGAAAUCUGGCUUCUCUCCACUCAGAUGAAUGAGCUGGGAGGCGCAGCUUCAGGAGCGAUUUGCAAGAGAUGCACUCGGAGCUCAAGAUGGACAGCAGCCUGGCCAACAGCUUCUCAUCCUCUCUGGGCAACAGCCUCGUGGGGUGGGGUGCAGGGUUGGUGGUUGGCUGGUGGCCUCACGUUUCCCCAGUUGGUUCAUGCUUGGGAUGUGCCACCUGUGAGCCCGGUUGGGUCUCUUGUAGGUUCCCACGGAGAUCAGCCUCUUCUGGUAGGUAUUGGAUGCUGCCUUUCCUCACUGACCGGGCGACGACUCCACUUACCCCUCCAGAGGCCUUAGUUGUCAACCCGACAGAAUUACUCAGGGGAAGUCAGAGCUCAUAAUUAUUUGACUAAUCCUCAUGUGGCAACACAUCGGAGGUUGUUUUUUUAGCACGAGGCAGGGCCCGAGUGAGAGUGUUUCCCACUGCAGGCUUGCCUGUCUGGGUCUGCAGGCUAGGAACAGGGCGCCUCCUUCCUGGGAGCAGGGAGAUGUGGAAAUGUGGGUGGGAAGCUGCAGGGCUGGGUCUCCGAGACCCUGGAAACCUGCAUCUCUCCAUACAUCAGCUUCCUAGGGCUGCUAUUCAAUGACUUGAUGGUUUAAAACGAGGAAUAUAUUCUCUCACAGUUCUGGAGGCCAGAUGUCCGCGAUCAGGUGCCAGCAUGGUCUUACCCUCUGUAAAGGGCUCUAGAAGUAAUUCCUCCUGGCUCUUCCAGCUUCUAGUGGCUCCAGGUGCUCCUUGGUUUGCGGCUGCUUCACUCCAGUCUCUACCUCCAUCUUCACGUGGACUUCUCCUCUGUGCCUCUCAUAAGGACACUCAUCAUUGGAUUUAGGAGCUAUCGGGAUAGUCCAGGAUGAUCUCAUCUAGAGAUCCAUAACUUAAUCACAUCCACAAAGAUCCUUUGUCCAUAUAAGGUCACAGCCACAGGUUAUCAGUAAACAAAUCUUUCUUUCUGGGGGUGCCAUUCAACCCACUACACCCUGGAAGGUGCCCUGCCCAAGCCAAUUAAUG
This 2210-nucleotide long non-coding RNA is filed under the name Homo sapiens (human). RNAcentral's name for it is "HSALNT0143273". Lineage: Eukaryota; Metazoa; Chordata; Mammalia; Primates; Hominidae. The record is from RNAcentral.